RNAcentral lists this long non-coding RNA (1231 nucleotides) under Gossypium barbadense (sea-island cotton). Its description in RNAcentral is "long non-coding RNA (GBAR_LNC004081)". Lineage: Eukaryota; Viridiplantae; Streptophyta; Magnoliopsida; Malvales; Malvaceae. The record is from RNAcentral.
GUUUGUUUAAGUUGGUACUAUUUUGGAUUAAAUUAGUUUUCAUUUGGACAACUUAAAUGGGUUCAAAUAAUUUUGAAAUGGUUUAAGUUAUAAAUAUUUUUUUUUUAUUUUGAUGGUAAGAAAUAGUUUUAUAUUUAUAUUGUAAUAGGCCUAUUUUGCCCGGCCCGAGCUUAAAUCAACAAAAACAAAAAUCUAAAAAAAAUAACAAAAGUCCAUUAGUACAAGGUCCAAAUUACAAAACAGGCUACAGGCCCGAUACCCAAGUUACAAGCAUGGACUCAAAACUCACUACCCAAUUUUGCAAACUCUGAGCCCAGCCCGAAAACUUAACAUUUUCGGAGGAACCCUAGGGUUCCCCUCUCCAGCGUCGCAGCUCCCCCCUCGUGCCUCGAGCGCACCACUCGCUCCUUGGACCAAAACGGAAACCUGCCCCCGUUAACUCCUAGCAGACCUGCAAAGUAACCCAAAAAGAAGCAAAAACACAGCGAAAACGCUGCAGCAGAAGCAAGGCCGAAUAGUGAUAGAACAGUAACAAGUAUUUUGGCUAUAAAGCCACACAAAAAACGAUUGUCAAAAGGGGGAUUUUGGAAAUAAAAACUCGAUAUUCGAAAUAUAAAAAAAAAUCCGAUAGAAAUCGAAAUCAAAAAUAAUAAAAAGGUGGUUCCUUUAUUCGUUUUUGCUUUGAUUAUUCUGUUUGGAUUUUUCUUUUUCUUUUUUUCUCUUUUGUUUCCAUUUGAAACUACUACAAAAAUACGAUAAGGUGAAAGAUUUUACCUUUUUUUGGUGUUGAUAUUCUUCGGCUAUCGCUUCUCUGGUCUAAAAGCCAACGGAUCCUUAGGUGUUCGGUUAAGGUUGCAACGGAAGAAGUCAAAGGUCGGAAGUCAAUUGGUUUAGGGAUUUUGAAGGCCCUAAAUCUAUUUUAUAUGAAAGAAAUGAGGGUUAUAUCGGGCUUCGGGCAACAUUCCGGCCACCACCAAUGGUGGUUACCUUCGCUAGUACGAAGGGUGGCCGACGGAACUUAGCAAAGCCCUAAGUCCCUCUCUAAGAAAUUUGGGGAUGACCCUUUUGUUUUUUUAAGAAAAUACUGCAUAAAUGGUUUUUUUUUUUUGAGAAAUUUGGACUUUUUAAUAUGACCAUACGGUGCCGUUUAGGGAUAUAAGCCUAAAUGGAUAAAACGACGCCGUUUCACGCCAUACUCGCGCGACCCAACCCGAGUACUCUCAGGAUUUGC